This 474-nucleotide ribosomal RNA is filed under the name uncultured bacterium. Its description in RNAcentral is "bacterial SSU rRNA". It matches the Rfam family "Bacterial small subunit ribosomal RNA", at positions 32 to 481 of the family's 1533-position model. The record is from RNAcentral.
AAUCAACGCUGGCGGCGUGCCUAACACAUGCAAGUCGAACGAGAAAGUGACUUCGGUCACUGGAUAGUGGCGUCCGGGUGAGUAACACGUAGGUAAUCUACCUUCGGGUGGGGAAUAACUCGCCGAAAGGCGAGCUAAUACCGCAUAAUGCAGCGGCACCUAAUGGUGAUUAGUUGUUAAAGCGGGGGAUCUUCGGACCUCGCGCCUGAAGAGGAGCCUGCGGCAGAUAGCUAGUUGGUGAGGUAAUGGCUCACCAAGGCUUCGAUCUGUAGCUGGUCUGAGAGGACGGCCAGCCACACUGGCACUGACACACGGGCCAGACUCCUACGGGAGGCAGCAGUGGGGAAUUUUGGGCAAUGGGCGAAAGCCUGACCCAGCAACGCCGCGUGAAGGAGGAAAUCCUUCGGGAUGUAAACUUCAUAAGUAAGGGAAGAAAGCUGCGGAUUGAAUAAAUCCGCAGUCCGACGGUACCUU